UUUUAUCUCACUAGUUCAAUUAAAAGACUAAUCCCAUCCACCCUGACCCCCAUCACGCACAAAACAAGUUUGAGAGUUAAACCCAACUGCGUGGCUCCUUCUCCUCCUUCUCCUUAAAUCGAAAAUCCACCUCAAUCCAUAGCUUUAUAAAUUCUCUCACUGCUCAAUCCCUAGAUUUUUAGGGUUUCCAAUUUAUUCUGUCACACCAUCCAAUCCCUAUCUUUCUAGGGUUUCUGAUCUAUUCCUCUUUCUCGUAUUUUUUUUCUGACCAAAAUUAAUGGCUUCCAUCCGGAGACCCUAUAUCAGUGGCUUCAUAGUUUCAGAGAUUAGUUAGCGGAGUUGUUGGUUAGGAUAAGGGUUUGAUGAGUGAUCUGAAUGCAGAUCUGGAUUUGUUGAAGGAUUUUUCUGGUAUGUGAUUCUGGGUUUGUUCUUAUUUUCUUCUAGAUUGUUUUUUCUGAGUUUUUUUUUUAACAAGCUGGGUUUGUUUGUUAUUGUUGCUGUGGAUGAAUUUUUUGUGAUGUUUAGUUAUGAGAUUGUGGAUGUAUUUUGCACAGUGUUGAGCAACAUUAACUUCUUAUAUCGUGAGUCUCUUUAUCAACUUCAACUUAGAUUGAUUUUUCCCUAAAUUGUGCCAAAACCCUAACAUCAUCUUUCAUCCCAAACUAAAUUUCUCUGUUCUUGGCUCAGUUAGAAAUUUGAUGUUAAUUUGUCUGAUUAUUAAAUUUGCAUGUUUUUCAUAUUAUGUUCAACUUCAAACCUAACAAUAUUUGGUCAUAUUUAAAUGGCACUUUGUUGGUUUUUGGUAUGUAUAGGUUUUUUGUAAUUGUUUAUACUUUCUAGAUUCGUGUUUUGUGUUUGCCGGAUUUUGUGAAAUAUAGUGAUUACUAAAUUACUAAAUAUUAAUUACUAGUUAAUACUAGUAUGUAGAGGAUAGUGGUUUUAUGAAUGAGCCAAUUCAUCUUGAGUGAAAACUCAUGCUGAGUAUGAAUGAACCAAUUCAUCUUGACUAAAAACUCAUGAAAAAAGAUGCAAUGAUGUUGUGUAUGCUAUACAUUUUGGUAAUGCACUAAGAAAUAUAAACCAAUGAUGGGGGGACUUCUUUUCAUAAAUGGAACUGAGAUGUGAAGUUUUUGAUAUGUACAAUAUAGGUAGUGGUUGCAUUCUUCACAAUAAUGAGGAUAAUAUUGAAUAUGAAAUUGAUAUUGAAAUGCCAAAUUACUUGUUAUAUCUGGUUGCUCUUUUCCUUCCAAAAGAAACCAAUUGAUGAUCAAUUGUAUGAAAUGUUAACAUUUGGUGUAGGUGAAUAAUGCAGGACAACUAAGUGAGAAGAAACUGAAACAUGCUUUAAAACAAACUACUUUGGUGUAGGUGAAUAAUGCAACACAAUUACUAACUGUUAGGCAUUUCCUGACAAAUUAAGGCUUUACGGCCUUUUUAAUAUCUUAUUUAGGCAUAAUUUGGAGUGUAAUUAAAUUAGUAAUAGUAUAACUAUUUUUUGUGAUUCAUAGACUUGCUAUUUGAGUGAGUUGCCUACAAGGGAAGAAGAAUCAAAGAAUACUCUAAAUUGGACUGAAAUUUUCAUUUCACAGUUGAUAUAAUUUCUUCUAUUACAUACAUGAUUCAUGGGUGGAUUUCUUAAUCUAGUUUGUUAAUUGAUUUGGUUUUCUUGUUAGGAAAUGAACACCUUGAUUAAAUAAUGAAACAAAAAUGAUAUAGAAGUUUUGUGCAAGCUUAUUAAUGUCAAUUAACAUUGGAGAACUUGGCAUUUACUUUUAGCAAGAAAGGGGCAUAGCAGCCAAAAUCAAGUUAGCAUUCAUUAAUUCUCAACUCCAAGUAGGUAAAUGUACACAUGUUUAAGUGGAAAAAAUUUAUGUGCUUAUAUUUAAAUGCAUUUUGUUGUAAUAUGUAGAUAAAUUCUAUCCUUACCAAGCAAUUGAAAAUUGUGGUGCAGGAAGCAAUUUACUCUUAACAAAGUAAUUUUUAUUAGAAACUUCACUUGUCUGAUUGUGAGUUAUUUGCAAUUCAAUUUUUCACUGCUAAUUUCAUAUUGUCUACAUUUUUUAAGUUAUUCCUAACUUGUGUAUCUGACCUUAAAUUAUUUAAACCUAUCUAAUUGUUUGAUUUUAGCUCUUCUUUUAUUUAAUUUCAUUAUUCAAAUAGCUAUGUAGACACCACUGUGUUUGGUUUUGCAGCCCUCUACCUUCUAGAGGAAAUCUAGGUAUUGUUGUUUGUAUUUAAGAGUUGUGUGGGGCAGGUUAAAAGGAACCAUCACUUAUUCUCAUAAUCCUAAGAGAUAGUUCAAAUAUGAAAUUGAAUUUUCAAUGAAAUGGCUAGAUGUAAUUUGGUACAUUUACAUUAGAGAUGACAGUGAUACUCUAAUUUUGUAAUGGCAAUAUGCAUUCUAGUGGGUAUAGGGUGUCUUGUUUGCAUAAUUAGUGAGAUUGUAGUUCAGAUUUUGUUCAACUAUUGAUUAAUUUGGUGUAGCAGGUUUUACAUUGGAGCAAUAUGAUUAAAAAGGAUUACGAUCAAAGAAAUGUUGGAAUUGCUAAAGAUCAUUGAAAAGUAACAGAAGGCAUGUUACAGCUGCUUCUUCAUAUGAUUAUGCAACCAAGAUAGUGGGGGCAAUGAAAGAAAAUUUACUAUUUACACCAAAAGUGUCCAAUUUUAGUUGUAUUAUGGUUUUGAGAAAACAUUGUCUUAAUUUUAGUUGUAUUAUGGUUUUGAGUAGUAACCAUGACUUUAGGUGUUAUAUAGUAACCAGUACAUGUUGCUACUUUUAGUACCCAUAGAAAGGAGGUACUCUGCUAUGCAAUUAUGUAAUACUACAAACAAUUGAAUGAAGGAGUUCAUAUAUUUGCCUCACUUUUAUUUCAAAUAUAUAAUUUGAAUAUUAAAUUUGGUUAAAAUAUUUUCAAAAUUAUUAUCUUAAUUACAAA
RNAcentral lists this long non-coding RNA (2936 nucleotides) under Trifolium pratense (red clover). RNAcentral's name for it is "long non-coding RNA (TPRA_LNC000701)". Lineage: Eukaryota; Viridiplantae; Streptophyta; Magnoliopsida; Fabales; Fabaceae. The record is from RNAcentral.